Molecule: RNA transcript, 1812 nt
Organism: Brassica rapa (field mustard)
Lineage: Eukaryota; Viridiplantae; Streptophyta; Magnoliopsida; Brassicales; Brassicaceae
Source: RefSeq, a predicted model, not a curated record
UAAUUAAAUUGGUCUAACCCAGCAUUUGGCCCGUUAGAAACUCGUGCUUAGGUUUGGUGGUCGUCGACUUCUUCUUCCAGAAGCGACCUCGCCGAUGUUACUGAGAAAACCAAACCGUCGAUCUGAGUUCUGUAACGCCCGAUCCAUACACGCAAUUCAAUUCCGAUGGCGUCUACGUACACGUUACUUGUCGACCUGAGAGCCGGGCGAUGCUCUAACACGGCGGAGGUCCGUCUGUUGCGGUUUGCGAGAAACAUCAACAAAGGCGGGGAGCUUAUGAGCGUUGAUAUGUUGCUCAUCGAUGAAAACAUAAGCACAAUUGUCUUAUACUAAGCCUCUAACAAUAUGCAAUUUUUAUCGAAUUAUGAUUUGAGUUUUUUUUUCUUCUCUCAUCUGUUUCUGCGCUUUGCCAGCUCAGGUUCAGAAAACGUCUCACUGAAGGCUCUGUCUAAAUACAUGAUUCUUGAUUUCUCAAACCCAGCGAAGUAUUAGGUUUCUUCAUACUCUCACCUUCGACCUCCGUAGAUUACAGUCGAGUGUUCCACGAAACUAGAGCGCCGAUCAACUCCCGUAACAUCUCCACCUUCCAUUAAACGUACUUAAAUACGUUUACUGGAACACUAUUAAAGAGCAUUCUCAUCCAGACAAACCAUGUCGUUUCACCUGUUAUAUGUCCAAGCACGUGUUCCUGCUCUUCCAUUGAAAGAUGAGGGGUUUGUUUAUCUGAUACUGAUCCUAACGCCAUGUACUUUAAUGGUUGGCCUGAAUCAGGUAGAUUCCUGUCAUUGCUUAGGAAUCAAAGGCUUCCAAGCUCCAGAGAACUUUAACGGACGAGAUUAUGAGGCACUAAACGGCACAACCGAGAAUCUUCUUCCCUUGAGUCUAGAAAGACUUUCUCUCAGGAUUGCACAAGUAAAGGCGUCUUAUUAAGUCUAGAGAGCAAAAGUUUGAUCGCAGUCCCAAAUCCUGAUACAUGUUAAUAUAUAUGUCACACUACCUGAUACAGUGGGUAGAUAGAUGAUGAGAUGUAGAUGUGUGUGCUUUUUAAUUUUCCAGGAAUUGUAUGAGUCAAGGUUCCAGAAAACGGAGGAUAAAAAGCAAUAUCUUGAAACAAUUGUUUCAUGCGAGAAGCAAAUAUCAAAUUUGUAGAAAACAUAGACGGCAACAACAUUGAAAACGGGUGAAAAAUUAGAUUCUUCUUCACACUCACCCACUUGAUUCUUAACACUACUAAACAAACCUCUUUGUUUUUGCUCAUCGUAUCAUUUGAAUUAGAAACAACAGAGUUCUUUAUAGGUAGCGUCAUAAGUGCAGUGGUAAGCCAAGCCAUGUUGGUGGUAGGAGAGAAAAAUCUACAUCUGAUACUUUUACAUUCCCAUGGAUGUCUAUGGUGACCAGAAAAGGAUCCAACAACUCAUCGUGGAAUUCCUGCUAAGUAUUGUUCACUAUGCACCCACUGAAGGCUCUGUGGAGCUCAAUCUACACCGGUUCUGAAACAAAUGGCUUAUACGUUCUCUGCUAUACACACAUGGAGUUUCAUGUAACCUUUUGAAGCCUUGAUAUUUUUUCUUUAUUUAGCAAACAACGAGCACUGGGAUUCAUUACCGCCAAAGAAAGUGCAAGACAUGUUCCACAAUAGCAUAUGGACGAGUCGUGAAGCAGAGACCUAUUUCUAUAGUAAAUGGUGUCUUUAAUAGUGUUACUACUUAAACUUCUAAAAAUUAACGACUCCCAGUAUAUAAAAUAUUUGUAAAUCCUUGGGAUUUUAAGAGUAUGGUCAAUGGUUUAGUAAAAAAAAGCUUCUUCAGCUUC